UACGUAGGGAGCAAGCGUUGUUCGGAUUUACUGGGCGUAAAGGGCGCGUAGGCGGCGCGGUAAGUCACUUGUGAAAUCUCUGAGCUUAACUCAGAACGGCCAAGUGAUACUGCAGUGCUAGAGUGCAGAAAGGGCAAUCGGAAUUCUUGGUGUAGCGGCGAAAUGCGUAGAUAUCAAGAGGAACACCUGAGGCGAAGGCGGGUUGCUAGGCUGACACUGACGCUGAGGCGCGAAAGCCAGGGGAGCAAACGGG
This 253-nucleotide ribosomal RNA is filed under the name uncultured bacterium. Its description in RNAcentral is "partial 16S ribosomal RNA". It matches the Rfam family "Bacterial small subunit ribosomal RNA", at positions 524 to 776 of the family's 1533-position model. The record is from RNAcentral.